CCUACGGGAGGCAGCAGUAGGGAAUCUUUCACAAUGGGCGAAAGCCUGAUGGAGCAACGCCGCGUGCAGGAUGAAGGCCUUCGGGUUGUAAACUGCUUUUAUAAGCGAGAAAUAUGAUGGUAACUUAUGAAUAAGGAUCGGCUAACUACUUGCCAGCAGCCGCGGUCAUACGUAGGAUCCGAGCAUUAUCCGGAGUGACUGAGCGUAAAGAGUUGCGUAGGUGGCAUAAUAAGUAGCUAGUGGAAUCUGGUGGCUCAACCAUUCAGACUAUUAGCGAAACUGUUAAGCUCGAGACCGUUAGAGGUAAGUGGAAUUUCUAGUGUAGGAGUGAAAUCCGUAGAUAUUAGGAGGAACACCAAUAGCGUAGGCAGGUUGCUGGGACGGUUCUGACGCUGAGGCACGAAAGCGUAGGGAGCAAACAGGAUUAGAUACCCCAGUAGUC
This 442-nucleotide ribosomal RNA is filed under the name uncultured bacterium. RNAcentral describes it as "partial 16S ribosomal RNA". It matches the Rfam family "Bacterial small subunit ribosomal RNA", at positions 338 to 795 of the family's 1533-position model. The record is from RNAcentral.